Molecule: ribosomal RNA, 414 nt
Filed under: Eremothecium ashbyi
Lineage: Eukaryota; Fungi; Ascomycota; Saccharomycetes; Saccharomycetales; Saccharomycetaceae
Description: SSU rRNA
Rfam family: Eukaryotic small subunit ribosomal RNA
Source: RNAcentral
AAAAAGCUCGUAGUUGAACUUUGGGUUUGGUCGGCCCGUCCGAUUUUCUUCGUGUACGGGAUCCGACCGAACCUUUCCUUCUGGCUAACCUAGGGUACUUGUACCCUAGGCGAACCAGGACUUUUACUUUGAAAAAAUUAGAGUGUUCAAAGCAGGCGCAAGCUCGAAUAUAUUAGCAUGGAAUAAUGGAAUAGGACGUUUGGUUCUAUUUUGUUGGUUUCUAGGACCAUCGUAAUGAUUAAUAGGGACGGUCGGGGGCAUCAGUAUUCAAUUGUCAGAGGUGAAAUUCUUGGAUUUAUUGAAGACUAACUACUGCGAAAGCAUUUGCCAAGGACGUUUUCAUUAAUCAAGAACGAAAGUUAGGGGAUCGAAGAUGAUCAGAUACGRCGUAGUCUUAACCAUAAACUAUGCCGA